CCUCCCUGGCAGUGGGCAAAGAGACACCUUGUUGGUGGUGUUGCUCUUACAUCAGCAGGGGCAGAGCAGUCGGCAGUUAUUCAUUCAUCCUAGCUUGAUGCCUGCCUUGGUGACCAAAGCUGUUUCAUACCUGGGCCAUAUUA
Apodemus sylvaticus (European woodmouse) is the source of this 143-nucleotide small nucleolar RNA. RefSeq annotates it as small nucleolar RNA SNORA48. The record is from RefSeq and is a predicted model, not a curated record. NCBI's taxonomy places the organism in Eukaryota, Metazoa, Chordata, Mammalia, Rodentia, Muridae. The transcript has a single exon.